This is a long non-coding RNA of Heterocephalus glaber (naked mole-rat), 2810 nucleotides long. Lineage: Eukaryota; Metazoa; Chordata; Mammalia; Rodentia; Bathyergidae. The record is from Ensembl.
CAGUGGCUGUGCACCAAAGAGGAACCUGCCUUACGGGCUGGGGAGCUGGGACACCCUGUUCUGGAGGCCCAGCCCGGAAGCGCCCUUGCAGGUGGCCUGGUUGCAGGGUUCCUCUUCUCUGAUGUCUGAGAGGGGAAUUCAGCAAGAAGGACUCAGUCUGGAGCUGCCCAACUUCCUCAUAAGGCAGCCUGUACGAACCAGGUGACACCUUCCCACCUCGGGUCCUUCGUCCUGGGUGACCGUCUGCGGUCCUCUGUCCCUGCCCCGGCUCUGGGUCCUGACCUGGGCUGCGGCCCCCUGAAGGUACAGAGCUCUGGCGUCCUGAGCAGCCCUGCCUGUCAGGGGCCCUGGCACUCGAAAGGAGCAGGGUGCGUGUGAUCCAAAGAGAUGAAAGCUUGACUCGUGGGCCUAGUGCGAUCCCACUUCUCCUGCGACAUCUCGGGGGGCCGGUGUCUCUCUGGCCGUGUGGGUCCCCCUGGCCUGGGCAGCAGCUCCUGUGGCUGGGUCCAUGACAUCGGCAGCCUCCAGAUUUCCCCAGGUUGGUGGGGCCUGGGGAGGUCGGAAGCACCUCCAUCAGCCAGAGGGAGAGUCCAAACCGAGUCUUCAGGAAACCCCUCCCGCUCUGCUGUCAGACUGCGGCGCACUUCUAACUGUGAAGACGACCAGGCCUGAGUCGUGACGCUGACUCUGCGGUGUGGAGCAGACCUGGGAGAAGCUCGGAAGCCAGCCCUGGUCGGUCAGAUGACCAGGAUGGAGGGGGCGGAGGCGCAGCGUGUUCUUCUCCCGAGGGUUUAUUAGAGAGGAAAUGAGGAGACCGCGGUUGGGGAGUGGGCUGAGAAGUUAGAGUCGGGCUCACCGCUUCUUCCCCGCCCCUGACUUGCUGAGUGACAUCAGCCAAAGGAUUAGCCUGCCGGGGCAUCAGUUUCUCUGUCUCUUAGAGUGGAACAUCACCUGACCUAUCUCACAGGGCACAGUAGGAGGACUGGGCCAGCCCUUGAGAAAGAAGCAGAGGCUUGGAGACUUUGGAUGCAAAGAAGGAGCAGGGAAGUAAGAAACAGCCCACUUCUUCCCCAGGCCUUGGAGUUUGGCUCCUUUUCAGGGCUGAUGUUUGUCAUCUGCGAAACCAGGCUGGCUUGGCCUGUGCCUCAAAAAUAUUGAAAGCAAAUAUUAACUCAAGAUAAUGCAACAUGAGCAACGCAAAGGCCAAUUAACCCGAGGGAAAAGAAAAUAUCACCAUAUUUUAAAAUGAUGGCACACGAUCACUUCCAGAAUUGCUCAUAAAUUCUCAUUUUGUGGCAGCAAGAAUGUGCUGGGGGAACGAAGGCAGGGGAUCUCAGGCCAGCCCUGCUGUGGUGUCAGAGCCUCACAGCGCCCCAUUUUCGAGCAACUUUCAUGGCUGAUAAGGUGGUUGCUAGAAAAAUGGGAACUAAAUUUAUAGCUGGCUGUUGCGGAGACAAUUUACAUGUGGUAGCUCCAGAGCGCAGUGAAGGAGAUGCGCUUGAAGCCAAAAUUGGCUUCGUGGCUCUGGUUUCUCAGGCUCUGCACCACCUGCCUACAAUCAAACUGUCCAAUUACAAGAAACAAUUGUUUUCUUGCUUUCUGGGAAGUGGAGAAUUUCGUCCAGCAGAAAACUGAUUUCUAAAUGUUUCUUUUUCCUCUUAAAAAGAAAAAAAAUCAGAAAAAAAACCCCAACAACAAAUUGAAAACAUCAGCCAUGUGCUGCAGGAGAAAGUGUCCCCCUCCCAAAUGACUUUCAAAGUUCAAAAACCAGAAUACUGCUGUCUCCACUCUGAGGUGUUUUUGACCACAGGCGCUUGAUCUGUAAUUACCUCUUCUAAUAACGUUAUUAGCUGUUCUGAAGAAAGGCUCUCUCUUUUAACAGCGAGGCAGUAAUUAAAGGCUGCGAAUUUCACAGGUGAAAUCUUGCAGAAUGCACGGGUUUGAAGUCAAAGAAUCCAGCCACACACCUCUGCAUAAUUACACAUUCUUCUCCAAAUAAAAUCUUGCAUCGGAAACAAUGAAGUGGGGACAAUGAUACUAUGUAUCUUUUCUUAAAAGAUACAAUACUAUGUAUCACACCUUUUCUUAAAAGACAAGAUAUUAUGUAUCAUAUCUUUUCUUUUAUCAACUCUAAUUUGACUUGGCACAGUUUACUUCUCUGAAAUGGUUAAAAUAGCAGCCUCAAAGCUGGAAGGCACAGAAACCACUGGUCACAUGUAAACGCCACAUCAAACGUAGGCAGCAGGGUGAUAAUUACAGCGCUUGCUUUCCUCUGGCAGGUGAUAUUUUAAUGCAUGCAACCAACCAACUUCACUUGAUGUGUUUCGAAUUCAUCGUCUCUUGAGCUUUUCUUUUUGGAAAUAAAAAUAUGACCUCACGCUAUGCUAUGAUUCAAUAAAAAUAACAACCCCAUGUUAUUCAGGGUAAUAAUUCCUUUCCAAGGAAUUCUUCCAUACCCAGUGCCAUGGCUUUUGAGGAUGCCGUCUCCCCUGGAAGUCAUCCCUGGCGGGAUGGGCGGGGGCUGCCCAUCAUUUGCUGCCUGGCUCGGGGCCAGAUCAGGCAGUGGUGGUUUGCCCUUCUGCCUCAUAAUCUGGCUUUUUUGUGGCCAGGGCGCGGAGAAGAACCAGGCUAUGAAUGAAUGGAUAGCUUGGAGUGGGGUUGGGGUCCCAGAGCGGGGUCCCCUGUGCAGUGCCCUGGUGUCCACACACAAAGCCGGGCCUCACCUACCCUCCCUGAGCCUCGGUUCACCUGCCAAAUGGAGCAAUGCGCAACCAGCAGGAUGGUGCCUGGGACUGCCAAGUGUGACCAGG